This is a long non-coding RNA of Daphnia magna, 710 nucleotides long. RefSeq lists it as uncharacterized. NCBI's taxonomy places the organism in Eukaryota, Metazoa, Arthropoda, Branchiopoda, Diplostraca, Daphniidae. The record is from RefSeq and is a predicted model, not a curated record. The transcript has 2 exons.
UUAAAGAAACAAAACUAUGAGUGACAACUUUGACUUUUCGGAGGAAAUUUUUUUAAAGCUAAGUGAAAAAAUGAUAUUCGGCAAUUGAAAUUUAUCGGAAAACUAUCGAUCUUCCUCGAUGACUGGCUAAUUCGUUAAGAUUUUCCGCCAGAUUCGCUGCUGACAUGUCGAAUUUUUAAGACGUCAGUGUUACAAUUCUCAUGUUGGUAAAUCCAGUAUAUUUUCUUACGGUUCCUCUGGCAAAAUCCACCUGACAUUCGACCUCCAAAUGAAACAUGGAAAACGAAACGAUGAUUCGCGAAGGAGGAAACGCAAUGUGCCUUGGCCGUCAGCGAAAAGAGGAAAUGUGCGCAAUCAGCAAAUAGAAAUUGAAAAGAAAGACACGUUCAAUUUCCAAGGUAACCGAGGCCAUAUAUUGUAUCUAAAUCGUUGACGUCACAAGACCUUAUUUGUUUUGUACCAGUCGUAGAUUAAGUGCUAUAGCGCUUAACUUAACUUAACUUACUUCCUAUAGGAAUACCCCAUUUGUGUCAUGGAUGAAGACAUAUUCGGUAUUUGAUGAAAUAAAUGAAUGUAUGAGCUUCAUCACUGUACGCGAUGUCAAAAUUACUGAAAAUAUUGUAAUCAAUUAUAAUAUUUCAAGGAUAAUGUUUGUUUUCUCAUUUGUUGUAACUUUUUAAGAAUUGAAAUACAGGUUUUUGAUAACUGCA